UCGUUACUGUGUUUGUCAUUUUUAUUACUCUGUCGCACGGAAGGGACGAUUCUGUCGACCAAUCAACGAACGGCGUGUUUAGCUCCAACUUUUACCCUUUCAGACCACUUGGAACCCCAACGGAGGAGUACUGAAAAAUAGAUGUCAACAGAGUAGUUUUGUCUGACCACGCCACCGCUGGACCCGAUCCCCUCCUCACUCCUCCAGGCUCCUGUGGCUGCUGAUGGUCAACAGAUGUGGUUAAUCAGUAAUCAAUGGAACUGGAGUGAACAAUCCUUUAAAAGAACCACCGUUACUUCUGAGAGGUAUUUAGUUUACAGGGCCUGGCAAUUGGUUUGUAGAGCAAAACCCAGCAACACCUGAAAAAAAACGACAUGCAUGUUCCUUGUUCAAUCUCUUUGAGGUCAACCUGGAUAUUGUGUCUGAUUGGGUGUAUAUUAUCGCUACCAGUAGAUAAAGGUUUUGGCUCAAACAAUCCUUCACCAGCAUGGAGUGACUUCAGCAGUCCUCGCUCUACUUAUCCUGUUGGUCAAGCCGGCUCGGUGUAUACUUAUGGCAGCACACCGCAAGAGUACAUUGGAAGAGCGCCUUCCACUUGGUCCCAGCAGAACAGUGACUCAAAGGCUGAUGAAGGGGUCUACUCAAAUGAUGGCUCCAAUAUGGAUGCUGGCGACUCUGGCUGGGCCAAGAGCGGUGCGAUGGACUCUGGUAGUGAUGCUCAGUACCCUGUUCCUGAAGGCUACCCUGAGGAGCUUGUCGCCCCCAUGGACCAGGAGCUGGAGGAACCUGAGGAAGAGCCCGUGUUGAGCGACGUCUCUGACCUGGAGCCGGUCUACCACUUCAGUUCCGGGUCACGCUACCAGCAAGGCAGACAGGCCUUCUUCCUUGCCAGAUACAACCCCGGAGAGCCUAUGGUCGCCUCUGCUGACGCGUUGGUCUCUAACAGUUAUGGAAUGGGAAAUGGUGAGGGAGGGCCAGGUGAUCCAAGACAGCCUGGGAAGGGUGACUACUGAUCAACUGCAAUGUCUUUCAUUUCUAAUGGCUAUAUGAAUAAAUCUUGGCUUUCGGAAUUAGUUUCCUUUGCUUUAAUAC
Gadus chalcogrammus (walleye pollock) is the source of this 1092-nucleotide RNA transcript. RefSeq lists it as uncharacterized. NCBI's taxonomy places the organism in Eukaryota, Metazoa, Chordata, Actinopteri, Gadiformes, Gadidae. The record is from RefSeq and is a predicted model, not a curated record. The transcript is spliced from 4 exons.